ACCUCCACUCAGGCAAGAUUACCCGCUGAACUUAAGCAUAUCAGUAAGCGGAGGAAAAGAAAACAACAGUGAUUCCCAUAGUAACUGCGAGUGAAGUGGGAAGAGCCCAACGUUGAAUCGCCUUUGCCUCUUCACGGAGGUGCGAGUAAAUCGCAGGCGAAAUGUAACGUAUGGAUGUACUGUACCAAGUUUAGUCGUGUUAUCAAAGUAUACCUGGAAAGGUGCGCCAUAGAGGGUGACAGCCCCGUGUGUGAUAACAUGAGUGUUGUGUAAGACUAAGCUUGCUUGUGAAUGCAAGUGUGGCAGUAUAUUCCAUGAGUCGGGUUGUUUGGGAUUGCAGCCCAAAGUGGGUGGUAAACUCCAUCCAAGGCUAAAUACUAGCACAAGACCGAUAGCGAACAAGUACCGUGAGGGAAAGUUGAAAAGUAUUCCGAAAGGAAGGUCAAAAGGACGUGAAACCGUUAAAGGGGAAGCGGAUGGAUGGGUCGAAGUAAAUACGAUUCCACACAGCACAGCAUUAUGUUAAUUGUUAGAUGUAAUGUGUAUACUGUGUGAGAUAGAGUAAUCAGCCGAAACAAUCGUUGUGGGUACGGCCGAGGCAAGUUGGGUAGUUGGCAGUGGUCAUCCGCUAUUUAGCCGAAAGGUGUUAGUACGCGGUCACUGGCUAUUGUUGAUUACUACUUGUUAGUGAUGCGCGUUUCAGGGGUUUUACGACCUUUGAAAUAGGAACCGCGUUUAUGACUCGGUGUAUAAAAAUUCGUCCAUGAUGAUUGAGAAUUAGCGUUGUUGAAACGGUGCUGAGUGCUAUGAUGUUUCUGAAAAGAAAGCAUAGUAAUGUGUACAUGAAGUGUGACAUGUCCGUUCUGCUACCAAUUGGGUAGUGAUGCAUUACAUUUUGUACUUGUACAGGGUGCCUAUGUGUUAUGGUCCAGUUGGGUCUGUUGAUUCACGUUGAUGGACUAGUCAGUGAUGCUCAUACUGUGCGGGACAAGGUGUGGCAGUAAUAUGUCACAUGUUGUUUCAGUUGUGAGUGUGACCCCGUUAAAGUUGCCUGUGGGUAAACGUGAUUUAUCACGGCCAUUGUUCGCUGACAGUGGAACGAUAUACGCGUAUCACCGUAGCUAGACAUGUACAUGUACACUAGUUUUGCAUGGUUUUCGAAUCAUGUAAAACCAGAAACUUGGCUAUUUUUCGGCGAGACACCAAUCUAUCCGACCCGUCUUGAAACACGGACCAAGGAGCCUAACAUAUGCGCGAGUCAAAGGGUGAUUGAAACCCAUAGUAUCUUUAUGAUGCCGGCUGUUGGUAUGCAAGGUGAAUUAACAAGGUAUCAACAGUUGAGAGAGUGAUAAGGCGUAAUGAAAGUGUCCACCAGUUGUGGUGAUGAGAUGGGAUCCCGUUUUGCAUUCCUAACCAGAGUGUAUACACAAUGUCGUGUUGUGAUAGAACGGGCGCACCAUCAGCCGGUCUGCACGUAGGUGUGGAUUGAGCAAGAGCGCAUAUGCUAGAACCCGAAAGAUGGUGAACUAUUCCUGGGUAGGGCGAAGCCAAAGGAAACUCUGGUGGAGGCUCGCAGCGAUUCUGACGUGCAAAUCGAUCGUCAAACCUGGGUAUAGGGGCGAAAGACUAAUCGAACCAUCUAGUAGCUGGUUCCUUCCGAAAUAUCCCUCAGGAUCGCUGAGACUUGUAAUGUACAACGGUAGUUUCAUCGGGUAGAGCUAAUGAUUAGAGUUAUUUGGGAGGUAUCACUCCUGAAACUGUUAUCAAACUGCCAACCGGUGAGAUUUAUUCGGGUGAUUUCUUUGAGGUUUCAUGUGUGGUUAUUGAUCGAAUAGUGGUGUGUGUAAAAGCACAAGUACUUGAGGUUGAUAGGGUCAAACCUGUUGGCUUCCUUUGAGUAAUCACAUAUGGACUGCGGCUGAUUGUAGUAAAACUCUGGUAUGGAUACUUUUCGGAGUAUCAAUGUCAGGGAUCAUUGAGUUGGUGGUGUACAAAUUGGUAUACUCACAGGGACUUGAUGGUCUGUUGGUUUUGCUUCACAAUACAGUCACAGGCAGAGUAUACUGCGCCAAUCAAUGUUAUUAGAGGUGAAUCAUUCCCGAUAGGUUGUGUUCAGGCUGUGCAAACAGUUUGAUCAUGACCCUGCAUCAAAAAGUCUGUGUAAGCUCUAGUGUUUAUUGAAACACACACUGAUGGCGCGAUGCAGAAUUGAAUACCAGAGUCUCAAGUGGGCCGUUUCUGGUAAGCAGAACUGGCGAUGCGGGAUGAACCGAAAGCUGGGUUAAGGUGCCCAAGUGGACGUCAACGGACACCAUCAAAGGCGUCAAUCAGUAAAGAUAGCAGGACGGUGGCCAUGGAAGUCGGUAUCCGCUAAGGAGUGUGUCACAACUCACCUGCUGAAUCGGUUGGCCCUGAAAAUGGAUGGCGCUUAAGCGUUCCACCGAUACCCAGCCGUCRAUGAACGAAAUGACAUAACUAUCGACGGGUAGGAAGGCGCGACGGUUUUUGUGAUGUGAGAAAGGAUGCUUGCAUUUUUUCUAUCACAUCUCAUACAUUAAUAGUGCUGAGAAGGAUUGAGACGUAAGUCUAUCCGGAGCAGCCGUCGGUGCAGAUCUUGGUGGUAGUAGCAACUAUUCGAAUGAGAACUUUGAAGGCCGAGGUGGAGACGGGUUCCACGUGAACAGCAUUUGGACGUGGGUCAGUCGGUCCUAAGCAGUCGCCUAACAGCAUGUUUCAGGCAAAGAGAAGAGGAUGUGUAACGCAAGUCCACUUCUAAGGCUGCGAAAGGGAAUCCGGUUAAUAUUCCGGAACCAAGUGGCGUGUACUUCAUCAACAUUAAAUGCUGGCACAGCAAUGUGUUGGUGUUUAAUGGGGUAUGGAGUACGUAUACGGAGAUGGCCGUGAAGAUGUGUGAGAGGAGUGAGGUAAAACUUGCCACUCUCAAACAUAUUCACAGGUCUUGGCGGUAACGCAAGCAAACCCGGAGACAUCCUUCAUGGUCCUGGAAAGAGUUAUCUUUUCUUGUUAACAGACUUAAUGAUACGCCCUGGAAAAGAGUCAGUCUGAGAUGGGGCUAUGGGUCUGGAAGAGCAUCGCAGUUUCGGCGGUGUCCGGUGUACCAUGGUGUUAAGGGUCCUUGAAAAUCCGGGGGCGCGUAAUUCACAUAAUAACAUUCAAUGUAGCAUCUCGUACAUAGAAUGUAUGUGUAUUCAUUUUCGCACUUGUCCGUACCGAAUCCGCAUCAGGUCUCCAAGGUGAACAGCCUCUGGCGUUGAAACAAUGUAGGUAAGGGAAGUCGGCAAAAUCGAUCCGUAACUUCGGGACAAGGAUUGGCUCUAAGGGUUGAGUUACCCGGGCUAUGGAUUGUAUCUUUAAAGAUGGUGUAAUCACUGAUGAUGAAAGAGGCAUAUGAAGGGCAACUGGAGUGUGUCGCUUUCAUUAUUGCGUGGUCACAUUUGUUUUUAAAGAUCGGUGUAGUUGAGAUAACUAUUCUUGGUGUCAAAACUAAGGUAGUUAUUUCCCUGGUGAGGUGGUGGGUGUGACAAACGCUCAUUGUAUACCCUCAUCAAGUUGCCCUUUACAGAGGUGAUUGGGUGCUGAAUAUGAUGUAUGAAGCUUGUGAUAUACCAACUUUUACAUAUGUAAGAGUGGAGUUGCAAGUUGGUCAGUGUGUGUGUGCAUGAGAAUGAUCAUAGUUUAAAGCUGGGUUAUUUUCUCACCRCAGGCUGGUCUAUCAUAUGUUUGUUCAGUGCUCGGCGGGUGACAAAUGAACAACCAACUUAGAACUGUCACUGACUCGGGGAAUCCGACUGUUUAAUUAAAACAAAGCAUUGCGAUGGCUGGAAACGGUGUUGAUGCAAUGUGAUUUCUGCCCAGUGCUCUGAAUGUGAAAGUGCGGAAACGCAACAAAGCGCGGGUAAACGGCGGGAGUAACUAUGACUCUGUUAAGGUAGCCAAAUGCCUCGUCAUCUAAUUAGUGACGCGCAUGAAUGGAUCAACGAGAUUCCCACUGUCCCUACCUACCAUUCAGCGAAACCACAGUCAAGGGAACGGGCUUGACUGAGACAGCGGGGAAAGAAGACCCUGUUGAGCUUGACUCUAGUUUGACUUUGUGAAAAGACAUUAGAGGUGUAGCAUAGGUGGGAGGUAGUUGAUCAUUACAUUUGUAAAAGGAUGUAACAGCUGCCGAUCUUGAAAUACCACCACUUUGGUCGUUUUUUUACUUACUCGGURAUACAGGAAGGAUCAACUCCACAUAAUGUAUGAAUUAUGUUACAAAAGGUGUAAAAAUCCUUGUGUAACAUGAGACAUGCAUUGUUUUAUCUCUGAUGCAUGCCAUGUAGAUGCCUUUUAAAGGUGUCUGUGUGUAGUAUGUAUCGAGGUGGAGAUUAUGGUUCGUUGUUUAGUGUUAAAAGCGAGUGUGGUACGAAGAGUAAAAAAGCGUACUCACUGCGCUGACCUGUGAAGCAGAUAGUACAUUGGUGAUGUGAUUUAAACCCAUAUCAACAGUGUAUCUGUUUGUUUCCUUGACAGCGUAGCAACACCCUUGGUAUGUGUGUGAGAGGUGUGGUUUCGGCUGCAUCUCACAUGCAUGUGGUUAAGGUAAAUGUUGUUGCGAUGAUUUGCCGAGGACAGAGUCAGAUGGGGAGUUUGACUGGGGCGGUACAUCCUUAUAACACAACGAG
RNAcentral lists this ribosomal RNA (4685 nucleotides) under Sphaerospora sp. PB818 ex Chelon labrosus. RNAcentral's name for it is "partial 28S ribosomal RNA". It matches the Rfam family "Eukaryotic large subunit ribosomal RNA". The record is from RNAcentral. Lineage: Eukaryota; Metazoa; Cnidaria; Myxozoa; Bivalvulida; Sphaerosporidae.